This 997-nucleotide ribosomal RNA is filed under the name Arthrobacter sp. G18. Its description in RNAcentral is "bacterial SSU rRNA". It matches the Rfam family "Bacterial small subunit ribosomal RNA", at positions 107 to 1115 of the family's 1533-position model. Lineage: Bacteria; Bacillati; Actinomycetota; Actinomycetes; Micrococcales; Micrococcaceae. The record is from RNAcentral.
UGAGUAACACGUGAGUAACCUGCCCUUAACUCUGGGAUAAGCCUGGGAAACUGGGUCUAAUACCGGAUAUGACUCCUCAUCGCAUGGUGGGGGGUGGAAAGCUUUAUUGUGGUUUUGGAUGGACUCGCGGCCUAUCAGCUUGUUGGUGAGGUAAUGGCUUACCAAGGCGACAACGGGUAGCCGGCCUGAGAGGGUGACCGGCCACACUGGGACUGAAACACGGCCCAAACUCCUACGGGAGGCAGCAGUGGGGAAUAUUGCACAAUGGGCGCAAGCCUGAUGCACCGACCCCGCGUGAGGGAUGACGGCCUUCGGGUUGUAAACCUCUUUCAGUAGGGAAAAAGCGAAAGUGACGGUACCUGCAAAAAAAGCGCCGGCUAACUACGUGCCACCACCCGCGGUAAUACGUAGGGCGCAAGCGUUAUCCGGAAUUAUUGGGCGUAAAAAGCUCGUAGGCGGUUUGUCCCGUCUGCCGUGAAAGUCCGGGGCUCAACUCCGGAUCUGCGGUGGGUACGGGCAGACUAAAGUGAUGUAGGGAAGACUGGAAUUCCUGGUGUAGCGGUGAAAUGCGCAAAUAUCAGGAGGAACACCGAUGGCGAAGGCAGGUCUCUGGGCAUUAACUGACGCUGAGGAGCGAAAGCAUGGGGAGCGAACAGGAUUAGAUACCCUGGUAGUCCAUGCCGUAAACGUUGGGCACUAGGUGUGGGGGACAUUCCACGUUUUCCGCGCCGUAGCUAACGCAUUAAGUGCCCCGCCUGGGGAGUACGGCCGCAAGGCUAAAACUCAAAGGAAUUGACGGGGGCCCGCACAAGCGGCGGAGCAUGCGGAUUAAUUCGAUGCAACGCGAAGAACCUUACCAAGGCUUGACAUGAACCGGUAAUACCUGGAGACAGGUGCCCCGCUUGCGGUCGGUUUACAGGUGGUGCAUGGUUGUCGUCAGCUCGUGUCGUGAGAUGUUGGGUUAAGUCCCGCAACGAGCGCAACCCUCGUUCUAUGU